GACGGAAAAUACAACAGACCUCGUGACGACCUAACCUCAAAAUGGGAGCAGUGGGACAAGUGGACAUACCCUAUUCGGAUGAUGCUGACUUUGAAGACUUGCAGGAUAAAGAUAGGACUGUGGAAUUGGUUGGAUAUGUUUGUUCCGUUGAGGCUCCGGUUCAGCAGAAUCAUUUGAUUUAUUCAAAUUUGGAUUGAGUAACGGAACAAAGAAAGUAAUGUGUCUGAUAUAGGGUAAGGAGUUGAUCGACAGACACCAACCACAAGUUCUGCUUAACAGGAGACUUCAUGUGAAUAAAGGCUUAUGCAAGUCAUCGAAAUUUCCAAAGCUGCUCGAGUCUCAAGGAUUCUUGCCGUAUGAAAUAAUCAUACAACCCAACACAACUUUUAAUUUCUUGGGAGUUCAUACCAUGUUGGCUGGACCACCGGUUGUACCGCCAAGGCAAGUCAACUUUGAUACCAUCAGGGAUGUUGAGGGAAAUAUAUCCAUCGAUGGACACAUAAAAGCAGAAUUUUCACCUACUGCCAGUCGCUAUCAAAAUGCUAUGUACGCUUGUGGUUCUAUAACAGAUGGCGUGCAUAAAAUUAUUGUCAAUAUCUCAAAUUAUACCGUGCCUGUAGAAGCGACCAGAGGAAUGGCAGUUACCGUCAUCGGAAAUAUUGUCAAUGACCCAAGUAUACCUUUAACUAUUUCUUGCGCAGACUCUACUUUGCUAACACUACGUGAGGAGGAACCACUGCCAGAACUAGAUUUAUUACGAGCGAACAGAACAUUGAAAAGAAGAACUCCUCCGGAGUAAAACUAAGAAGAUUAAUAUCUUAAUACUUUGGUUUCUGCCUUUAUAAAAGUUUGUUCGUUUUUUACUGUUCCUUUUUUACAGUUCGUUUUUUACAGUUCGUUUCUUACAGUUCGUUUUUAUAUAUCUUAGUUUUUUUCUAACUUUUAAAAACAUGGUUUUCAAACCAUUUUAAGUUUUGCAAAAUAAUGCAAAAACAUGACUAGAGUCAGUAGAAGAAGGACUAGAGUAUUUAUUGUGGUGUAAAAAAAUGACUAGAGUAAGUAAAAAAGUGUGCAAAAGCACGACUAGAGUGACUAAACAUUUGUUUUUUAAAAGAAUGACUAGACUGCUUAAAAUAUAUUUAUUAUGUAAAAGAAUGAUUACAGUAUUGCGUAAAAGAGUGACUAGAUAAGUCAAAUAUUGCAAUAAGUACAAUUAUAGUCAGUGCCACAUUGUGGAAAAGAAUGACUAGAAUAAGUAAAAUAUUGUGAAAAAGAAUGACUAGAAUAAGUAAAAUAUUGUGAAAAGUGUCAUUAUAGUCAGUACCACAUUGUGGAAAAGAAUGACUAGAUUAAGUAAAAUAUUGCGAUAAGAAAGAUUAUAGUCGGUACCACAUUGUGGAAAAUAAUGACUAGACUGCGUAAAAUACUGUGACUAGACUAACUAAAAUAUAUUUUUGUUUAAAACAAAAUAACUACAUUAACUUAAAUAUUGUGCAAAAGCAUGACUAUAAAAUAUAUUGUAUAAGCGAAUGACUAGACUAAGAGAAAAAUUGUGUAAAAGCAUGCGACUACAGUCAGUAUUAAAUUUGUGUACAACAAUAACUAGAGCACGUAAUAUAGUUGAAGCAACAAUGGAAAAAAACUGUUAUAAUAUUAAUAUUUAAUAUAAAUAAUAGAGUUGAUCAAAGUCAAAACUCUAUAUAUUGUUGCAUUCUAAUGUAUAAUUUAAAAGGGUAAUUUAGACUAAACAUAAUCAUAUGUACAAUUGUUACAUAAAAUAUAAUAAUAAAGUUUUAAACCCUAAUUUUGUAACAAGAACAAGAAUGUUAAAAUAAAGUGUGUUCACAAAUUUUUCAGUUUUAUUUAUUUAUUUUUUAAGUAAAUUUUUAUAAUUCAAUGAUUCAAUUCAGUUUAAAAGUUUUUCCGUGGGUGCGUGAACACAAUAUUCACUGCCACUGCGAAGAAGCUAUGCGCAUGCGUGAGAAAAGAAAAUCAAUAAAACCACUUAUGGUGGCCAGACGCAAACGGCGUUGCGUAGCCGCAUGUAUACCGUCAAAAGAAGGCAGGUGCAGGCCCUUUUCUGAAUUGUUUUUACAUAAAUUAAGGGGAAAAAGAAACCGGAUUCUAUUAUUUAUCCACCAAUGAUAUUCCGGUAUUGAUAUUAUUUGCAAAAAUUGAUUAUCAAUAGAACAAUCAAGGCAGUGUUUGGCGUUUACUACUGCAACCAGUAUCUACAAUUGCCAUUUCAGACAAAAUAAGAAAAGUUUGGUUUUCUAGGAUACAUUUGAAGCUGUUACAACACUUACUUCUUUGUUUACUAUUAUUUAAUUAAAAAAAAUGUAAACAUUUUUUGUAUCAUUAAUUUUUUAUUAAAGAUAAAGACAAAUCAUUUAUAAUAA
RNAcentral lists this long non-coding RNA (2399 nucleotides) under Nasonia vitripennis (jewel wasp). RNAcentral describes it as "uncharacterized LOC103316525, transcript variant X2". Lineage: Eukaryota; Metazoa; Arthropoda; Insecta; Hymenoptera; Pteromalidae. The record is from RNAcentral.